This 1346-nucleotide ribosomal RNA is filed under the name uncultured bacterium. RNAcentral's name for it is "partial 16S ribosomal RNA". It matches the Rfam family "Bacterial small subunit ribosomal RNA", at positions 28 to 1381 of the family's 1533-position model. The record is from RNAcentral.
GACGAACGCUGGCGGCGUGCUUAACACAUGCAAGUCGAACAGAAAGGCCCUGCUUUUGUGGGGUGCUCGAGUGGCGAACGGGUGAGUAACACGUGAGUAACCUGCCCUUGACUUUGGGAUAACUUCAGGAAACUGGGGCUAAUACCGGAUAGGAGCUCCUGCUGCAUGGUGGGGGUUGGAAAGUUUCGGCGGUUGGGGAUGGACUUGCGGCUUAUCAGCUUGUUGGUGGGGUAGUGGCUUACCAAGGCUUUGACGGGUAGCCGGCCUGAGAGGGUGACCGGCCACAUUGGGACUGAGAUACGGCCCAGACUCCUACGGGAGGCAGCAGUGGGGAAUAUUGCACAAUGGGCGGAAGCCUGAUGCAGCAACGCCGCGUGCGGGAUGACGGCCUUCGGGUUGUAAACCGCUUUCGCCUGUGACGAAGCGUGAGUGACGGUAAUGGGUAAAGAAGCACCGGCUAACUACGUGCCAGCAGCCGCGGUGAUACGUAGGGUGCGAGCGUUGUCCGGAUUUAUUGGGCGUAAAGGGCUCGUAGGUGGUUGAUCGCGUCGGAAGUGUAAUCUUGGGGCUUAACCCUGAGCGUGCUUUCGAUACGGGUUGACUUGAGGAAGGUAGGGGAGAAUGGAAUUCCUGGUGGAGCGGUGGAAUGCGCAGAUAUCAGGAGGAACACCAGUGGCGAAGGCGGUUCUCUGGGCCUUUCCUGACGCUGAGGAGCGAAAGCGUGGGGAGCGAACAGGCUUAGAUACCCUGGUAGUCCACGCUGUAAACGGUGGGUACUAGGUGUGGGGUCCAUUCCACGGGUUCCGUGCCGUAGCUAACGCUUUAAGUACCCCGCCUGGGGAGUACGGCCGCAAGGCUAAAACUCAAAGGAAUUGACGGGGCCCCGCACAAGCGGCGGAGCAUGCGGAUUAAUUCGAUGCAACGCGUAGAACCUUACCUGGGUUUGACAUGGAUCGGGAGUGCUCAGAGAUGGGUGUGCCUCUUUUGGGGUCGGUUCACAGGUGGUGCAUGGCUGUCGUCAGCUCGUGUCGUGAGAUGUUGGGUUAAGUCCCGCAACGAGCGCAACCCUUGUUCACUGUUGCCAGCACGUUAUGGUGGGGACUCAGUGGAGACCGCCGGGGUCAACUCGGAGGAAGGUGGGGAUGACGUCAAGUCAUCAUGCCCCUUAUGUCCAGGGCUUCACGCAUGCUACAAUGGCUGGUACAGAGAGUGGCGAGCCUGUGAGGGUGAGCGAAUCUCGGAAAGCCGGUCUCAGUUCGGAUUGGGGUCUGCAACUCGACCUCAUGAAGUCGGAGUCGCUAGUAAUCGCAGAUCAGCAACGCUGCGGUGAAUACGUUCCCGGGGCU